GUUAGUGGAAGCGUCUGGAAAGUCGCACGGUACAGGGUGAAAGUCCCGUACACGAAAACGCACAGGCUGUGAGCUCGAUGAGUAGGGCGGGACACGUGGUAUCCUGUCUGAAUAUGGGGGGACCAUCCUCCAAGGCUAAAUACUCCUGACUGACCGAUAGUGAACCAGUACCGUGAGGGAAAGGCGAAAAGAACCCCGGCGAGGGGAGUGAAAAAGAACCUGAAACCGUGUACGUACAAGCAGUGGGAGCCUCUUUUAUGGGGUGACUGCGUACCUUUUGUAUAAUGGGUCAGCGACUUAUAUUCUGUAGCAAGGUUAACCGUAUAGGGGAGCCGMAGGGAAACCGAGUCUUAACUGGGCGUUAAGUUGCAGGGUAUAGACCCGAAACCCGGUGAUCUAGCCAUGGGCAGGUUGAAGGUUGGGUAACACUAACUGGAGGACCGAACCGACUAAUGUUGAAAAAUUAGCGGAUGACCUGUGGCUGGGGGUGAAAGGCCAAUCAAACCGGGAGAUAGCUGGUUCUCCCCGAAAGCUAUUUAGGUAGCGCCUCGUGAAUUCAUCUCCGGGGGUAGAGCACUGUUUCGGCYAGGGGGCCAUCCCGGCUUACCAACCCGAUGCAAACUGCGAAUACCGGAGAAUGUUAUCACGGGAGACACACGGCGGGUGCUAACGUCCGUCGUGAAGAGGGAAACAACCCAGACCGCCAGCUAAGGUCCCAAAGUCAUGGUUAAGUGGGAAACGAUGUGGGAAGGCCCAGACAGCCAGGAUGUUGGCUUAGAAGCAGCCAUCAUUUAAAGAAAGCGUAAUAGCUCACUGGUCGAGUCGGCCUGCGCGGAAGAUGUAACGGGGCUAAACCAUGCACCGAAGCUGCGGCAGCGAACGUAUCACUUAAAWCGAUUUACAGGCUUAACGAUUGACGGAGCGGAGCGACGUCAAAGCGUUUUACAAAGUCGAGUCGGUUUAAGGAUACGUUCGUUGGGUAGGGGAGCGUUCUGUAAGCCGUWGAAGGUGKSCUGUGAGGSWUGCUGGAGGUAUCAGAAGUGCGAAUGCUGACAUAAGUAACGAUAAAGCGGGUGAAAAGCCCGCUCGCCGGAAGACCAAGGGUUCCUGUCCAACGUUAAUCGGGGCAGGGUGAGUCGACCCCUAAGGCGAGGCCGAAAGGCGUAGUCGAUGGGAAACAGGUUAAUAUUCCUGUACUGUGUGUCACUGCGAAGGGGGGACGGAGAAGGCUAUGUUGGCCGGGCGACGGUUGUCCCGGUUUAAGCGUGCAGGUGUGUGGACCAGGCAAAUCCGGUUCACUUUAACACUGAGGCGUGAUGACGAGGCACUACGGUGCUGAAGCAAUAAAUGCCCUGCUUCCAGGAAAAGCCUCUAAGCAUCAGGUGACACGUAAUCGUACCCCAAACCGACACAGGUGGUCAGGUAGAGAAUACCAAGGCGCUUGAGAGAACCCGGGUGAAGGAACUAGGCAAAAUGGUGCCGUAACUUCGGGAGAAGGCACGCUGAUAUGUAGGUGAAGUGAUUUACUCAUGGAGCUGAAAUCAGUCGAAGAUACCAGCUGGCUGCAACUGUUUAUUAAAAACACAGCACUGUGCAAACACGAAAGUGGACGUAUACGGUGUGACGCCUGCCCGGUGCCGGAAGGUUAAUUGAUGGGGUUAUCCUCGCGGAGAAGCUCUUGAUCGAAGCCCCGGUAAACGGCGGCCGUAACUAUAACGGUCCUAAGGUAGCGAAAUUCCUUGUCGGGUAAGUUCCGACCUGCACGAAUGGCGUAAUGAUGGCCAGGCUGUCUCCACCCGGGACUCAGUGAAAUUGAACUCGCUGUGAAGAUGCAGUGUACCCGCGGCAAGACGGAAAGACCCCGUGAACCUUUACUAUAGCUUGACACUGAACACUGGUCCUUGAUGUGCAGGAUAGGUGGGAGGCUUUGAAGUGUGGACGCCAGUCUGCACGGAGCCGUCCUUGAAAUACCACCCUUUAAUGGCUGGUGUUCUAACGUGGGCCCGURAUCCGGGUUGCGGACAGUGUCUGGUGGGUAGUUUGACUGGGGCGGUCUCCUCCUAAAGAGUAACGGAGGAGCACGAAGGUUGGCUAAUCCUGGUCGGACAUCAGGAGGUUAGUGCAAUGGCAUAAGCCAGCUUGACUGCGAGCGUGACGGCGCGAGCAGGUGCGAAAGCAGGUCAUAGUGAUCCGGUGGUUCUGAAUGGAAGGGCCAUCGCUCAACGGAUAAAAGGUACUCCGGGGAUAACAGGCUGAUACCGCCCAAGAGUUCAUAUCGACGGCGGUGUUUGGCACCUCGAUGUCGGCUCAUCACAUCCUGGGGCUGAAGUAGGUCCCAAGGGUAUGGCUGUUCGCCAUUUAAAGUGGUACGCGAGCUGGGUUUAGAACGUCGUGAGACAGUUCGGUCCCUAUCUGCCGUGGGCGCUGGAGAACUGAGGGGGGCUGCUCCUAGUACGAGAGGACCGGAGUGGACGCAUCACUGGUGUUCGGGUUGUCAUGCCAAUGGCACUGCCCGGUAGCUAAAUGCGGAAGAGAUAAGUGCUGAAAGCAUCUAAGCACGAAACUUGCCCCGAGAUGAGUUCUCCCUGACUCCUUGAGAGUCCUGAAGGAACGUUGAAGACGACGACGUUGAUAGGCCGGGUGUGUAAGCGCAGCGAUGCGUUGAGCUAACCGGUACUAAUGAACCGUGAGGCUUAACCUUACAACGCCGAAG
RNAcentral lists this ribosomal RNA (2713 nucleotides) under Klebsiella indica. Its description in RNAcentral is "Klebsiella sp. TOUT106 partial 23S ribosomal RNA". It matches the Rfam family "Bacterial large subunit ribosomal RNA", at positions 328 to 2925 of the family's 2925-position model. The record is from RNAcentral. Lineage: Bacteria; Pseudomonadati; Pseudomonadota; Gammaproteobacteria; Enterobacterales; Enterobacteriaceae.